RNAcentral lists this ribosomal RNA (505 nucleotides) under uncultured bacterium. RNAcentral describes it as "bacterial SSU rRNA". It matches the Rfam family "Bacterial small subunit ribosomal RNA", at positions 8 to 507 of the family's 1533-position model. The record is from RNAcentral.
AGAGUUUGAUCAUGGCUCAGGAUGAACGCUAGCGGCAGGCUUAAUACAUGCAAGUCGAGGGGCAGCAGCUUUGUAGCAAUACAGGGGCUGGCGACCGGCAAACGGGUGCGGAACACGUACGCAACCUUCCUUUAACUGGAAGAUAGCCACCGAAAGGUGGAUUAAUACUCCAUAACAUAUUGAAGAGGCAUCUCUUUGAUAUUAAAGCUCCGGCGGUUAAAGAUGAGCAUGCGGUUGAUUAGCUAGUUGGCGGGGUAAAGGCCCACCAAGGCGAUGAUCAAUAGGGGACCUGAGAGGGUGAUCCCCCACACUGGCACUGAGAUACGGGCCAGACUCCUACGGGAGGCAGCAGUAGGGAAUAUUGGACAAUGGGUGUAAGCCUGAUCCAGCCAUGCCGCGUGCAGGAAGAAGGCCUUCUGGGUUGUAAACUGCUUUUGCCGGGGAUAAAAGAUCCAUGCGUGGAGAAUUGAAGGUACCCGGUGAAUAAGCCACGGCUAACUACGUG